This 509-nucleotide unclassified non-coding RNA is filed under the name Hevea brasiliensis (rubber tree). Lineage: Eukaryota; Viridiplantae; Streptophyta; Magnoliopsida; Malpighiales; Euphorbiaceae. The record is from RNAcentral.
AUUACAACCUAUUUCCAAGUUCCAUCACAUAGGUAAAAGGUAAUUUUAAAACCUUACAGCCUUGUAUAAUCCCCCCAUUCCAAAAGCUUAUAUCCCAGAUAAGCUAGAACAUUAUUAAAACUAGUCUAGCAACUUCACAUUACACUGCAACUAUUGGCAUUUUCAUCACUGAAGAAGUGAGUGUAGGGAUCAGCCAUUGGAUGUGGUGGCAUUGGCGGCGGCGGCAUGUAAUUAACAGCCGGUUGCGGUCUGGCAUACAUCAUUGGUUGAAACAUAUCAUUCCCAUUUUGCCUCUGCUGAUUCAUCAUCAUUGCCAUAUAUUGUUGAUUGUAAGGGUUGCCUCCUCCCAUCAUCCCUUGAUAAUAACCACCAUUCAUGGCUGCUGGUGGUGCAGGCAGUCCUUGCACUGCAGGAAAAUUACCCAUUGGGCGCUUCUGGGCCAUCUGACCCAUCUGGCCCAUCUGGCUCAUCUGACCCAUGUUCUUGGCACCACCACCACCACCACCACC